GACGAACGCUGGCGGCGUGCUUAACACAUGCAAGUCGAACGAAGAGCGAUGGAAGCUUGCUUCUAUCAAUCUUAGUGGCGAACGGGUGAGUAACGCGUAAUCAACCUGCCCUUCAGAGGGGGACAACAGUUGGAAACGACUGCUAAUACCGCAUACGAUCUAAUCUCGGCAUCGAGGAUAGAUGAAAGGUGGCCUCUACAUGUAAGCUAUCACUGAAGGAGGGGAUUGCGUCUGAUUAGCUAGUUGGAGGGGUAACGGCCCACCAAGGCGAUGAUCAGUAGCCGGUCUGAGAGGAUGAACGGCCACAGUGGGACUGAGACACGGCCCAGACUCCUACGGGAGGCAGCAGUGGGGAAUCUUCCGCAAUGGACGAAAGUCUGACGGAGCAACGCCGCGUGAGUGAUGACGGCCUUCGGGUUGUAAAGCUCUGUUAAUCGGGACGAAAGGCCUUCUUGCGAAUAGUGAGAAGGAUUGACGGUACCGGAAUAGAAAGCCACGGCUAACUACGUG
RNAcentral lists this ribosomal RNA (510 nucleotides) under uncultured bacterium. RNAcentral describes it as "partial 16S ribosomal RNA". It matches the Rfam family "Bacterial small subunit ribosomal RNA", at positions 28 to 507 of the family's 1533-position model. The record is from RNAcentral.